GACGAACGCUGGCGGCGUGCUUAACACAUGCCAGUCGAACGGAAAGGCCCUGCUUGCAGGGUACUCGAGUGGCGAACGGGUGAGUAACACGUGGGUGAUCUGCCCUGCACUUCGGGAUAAGCCUGGGAAACUGGGUCUAAUACCGGAUAGGAGCCAUUUUUAGUGUGAUGGUUGGAAAGUUUUUUCGGUGUAGGAUGAGCUCGCGGCCUAUCAGCUUGUUGGUGGGGUAAUGGCCUACCAAGGCGGCGACGGGUAGCCGGCCUGGGAGGGUGGACGGCCACAUUGGGACUGAGAGACGGCCCAGACUCCUACGGGAGGCAGCAGUGGGGAAUAUUGCACAAUGGGCGCAAGCCUGAUGCAGCGACGCCGCGUGGGGGAUGACGGCCUUCGGGUUGUAAACUCCUUUCGCUAGGGACGAAGCUUUUUGUGACGGUACCUAGAUAAGAAGCACCGGCUAACUACGUG
RNAcentral lists this ribosomal RNA (465 nucleotides) under uncultured bacterium. RNAcentral describes it as "partial 16S ribosomal RNA". It matches the Rfam family "Bacterial small subunit ribosomal RNA", at positions 28 to 507 of the family's 1533-position model. The record is from RNAcentral.